Corythoichthys intestinalis (scribbled pipefish) is the source of this 1419-nucleotide long non-coding RNA. RefSeq lists it as uncharacterized. The transcript has 3 exons. The record is from RefSeq and is a predicted model, not a curated record. NCBI's taxonomy places the organism in Eukaryota, Metazoa, Chordata, Actinopteri, Syngnathiformes, Syngnathidae.
AGAAGCACAUCAAGGUCAUGAAAUGGCCUAGCCAGUAAGUAAGCAACUACAAGUUGUCCAUCUAACUGCUGUGCCCCGAUUGAAUUGAAUUCAAAAUUAGGUCACUUUUAAUACAAAUAGAUGUGGGUACAUGAGAGACAAGGGUGAAACUAGAAGUUUUUGAAUGUGACUAGACAACAUUACAAAAUAUUUGACUUUUUAGUCUGUAAAUAGACCAGCGCGGUAUUUCUGAUGUUACCAAAAUAAUGACAUUGAUAGUCACAGGAAUAAGAAUGGACUUGAAAGCAUAUUCACAAAGGCCCAGGGCCAGGCAAGUGUCUGUCAUUCAAUUAGGAUCAGCACCUGACGGGUGGAGCGACGGCAGCUGCCUGCAAUCAUCAUCAACAGCCUACAUAAGCCAGCCAGAGCUCCACCACAUCGCUGGAUCGUCUCUUUCAGUUCACUGAUCUUGCCUACGCCUCUCGUUAUUGGUACCUUUGGCCGGAAUCUUCACGCCAGACUCCACAGCCUUGUGAACAAUAAACUGCUGCUACAAUAAACUCUCUCGUGCCUGUUUUGAGGGUUCUCAACCCACGAUCAUAACAAAUUUCCCUUCUGUCUACUUUUGUCAAAGUUUUAAAACUAUUUCAUCAUUUAAAGAUAGAUUCAAGACAAGAUUCUGCCGAUUUAGGAGUAUUUUAGAUAAAAAGUUAAUUAGGUUCGCUACAACAGAGCCUUCUAGAGAGGUCUACUGCUUUAAGAUGGCAGCUGUUUACUUACGCCGCAAUUAUGAUUGAAUAUCUCCUGGAAUGUAUUACAAUUGAACUCCUAAUCCCCAAUUGUAAAAACACAAUUAUCUGCUGUGUCUACCGAGCUCCUGAUUCAAAUGUCUAGUAUAUGGAAAAGAUACUGUAUAAAACGAAUAAUAAGCAAGUUUUCGUUGUGGAGACGUUAAUCUUGGGAUAAAAUAUGUACAGCAUGUUGUUUGAUUUUCUCAUACAUUCAUGUCUGACGAAACUGUUACAGUGACCUUGUGUGCGCCAAUUGUUGCCACCAUGUACACCUCAUCAAUGUAUCCUUUUAAGAGACUUAUAAGAAAAGCAUUUUGAGUUGCUACUCACACCAGCUGUGAUAACAUGUCACACACAUAGCCACAACAAAAUGUUCCACAGCAAACAGAUGCAAAAAUCUCAGGGACAUGACAAAGUCAUAACCUUGUACGCCCUAAAAUAAAUCGAGCUGCUUGACUGGACGCUUAGUUACUAAACCCAGAUUGUUGACUGUGUUAUUCUACAGUUUUGAUGUAUGUACCAUGCCUGAAUGUGCGUCUUUAGUUGUAUGGGGACAGGAAACUGAUAAGCAUAUGCUUCAUCUCGUCCGCCUUUGUCGUCUUCUUCGGUUCCUUCGGGCAAAUCAUAUCACAUUUUGUAAUUGUCAAUG